This 256-nucleotide ribosomal RNA is filed under the name uncultured bacterium. RNAcentral describes it as "partial 16S ribosomal RNA". It matches the Rfam family "Bacterial small subunit ribosomal RNA", at positions 1237 to 1500 of the family's 1533-position model. The record is from RNAcentral.
UAACAGAGGGCAGCUACCCAGCAAUGGGAUGCGAAUCUCGAAAGCCUGUCUCAGUUCGGAUUGGAGGCUGAAACCCGCCUCCAUGAAGUUGGAUUCGCUAGUAAUCGCGCAUCAGCCAUGGCGCGGUGAAUACGUUCCCGGGCCUUGUACACACCGCCCGUCAAGCCAUGGGAGCCGGGGGGUGCCUGAAGUUCGUGACCGCAAGGAGCGACCUAGGGCAAAACUGGUGACUGGGGCUAAGUCGUAACAAGGUACC